This 267-nucleotide ribosomal RNA is filed under the name uncultured bacterium. Its description in RNAcentral is "partial 16S ribosomal RNA". It matches the Rfam family "Bacterial small subunit ribosomal RNA", at positions 355 to 613 of the family's 1533-position model. The record is from RNAcentral.
UGGGGAAUUUUGCGCAAUGGGCGAAAGCCUGACGCAGCGAUGCCGCGUGAGUGAAGAAGGCCCUUGGGUUGUAAAGCUCUUUCGGCCGAGAAGAAGGGUCUGCCGGCAAAUAGUCGGCGGGUUUGACUGUAUCGGAAGAAGAAGCACCGGCUAACUCCGUGCCAGCAGCCGCGGUAAUACGGAGGGUGCAAGCGUUGCUCGGAAUCAUUGGGCGUAAAGGGCGCGUAGGCGGGCGCAUAAGUCGAUUGUGAAAGCCCCGGGCUUAAC